CCGCUGACGAGCGGCGGACGGGUGAGUAAUGCUUAGGAAUCUGCCCAGUAGUGGGGGAUAGCCCGGGGAAACCCGGAUUAAUACCGCAUACGUCCUACGGGAGAAAGCAGGGGAUCUUCGGACCUUGCGCUAUUGGAUGAGCCUAAGUCGGAUUAGCUAGUUGGUGGGGUAAAGGCUCACCAAGGCGACGAUCCGUAGCUGGUCUGAGAGGAUGAUCAGCCACAUCGGGACUGAGACACGGCCCGAACUCCUACGGGAGGCAGCAGUGGGGAAUAUUGGACAAUGGGGGCAACCCUGAUCCAGCCAUGCCGCGUGUGUGAAGAAGGCUUUCGGGUUGUAAAGCACUUUCAGUAAGGAGGAAGGCCUUGUCGCUAAUAUCGGCAAGGAUUGACGUUACUUACAGAAGAAGCACCGGCUAACUCCGUGCCAGCAGCCGCGGUAAUACGGAGGGUGCAAGCGUUAAUCGGAAUUACUGGGCGUAAAGCGCGCGUAGGUGGUUUGAUAAGCGAGAUGUGAAAGCCCCGGGCUUAACCUGGGAACGGCAUUUCGAACUGUCAGGCUAGAGUGUGGUAGAGGGUAGUGGAAUUUCCUGUGUAGCGG
This 600-nucleotide ribosomal RNA is filed under the name Marinobacter mobilis. Its description in RNAcentral is "bacterial SSU rRNA". It matches the Rfam family "Bacterial small subunit ribosomal RNA", at positions 85 to 681 of the family's 1533-position model. Lineage: Bacteria; Pseudomonadati; Pseudomonadota; Gammaproteobacteria; Pseudomonadales; Marinobacteraceae. The record is from RNAcentral.